Molecule: non-coding RNA, 121 nt
Filed under: Protocruzia adhaerens
Lineage: Eukaryota; Ciliophora; Spirotrichea
Source: RNAcentral
AGAAACAAAAAGAGUCACAAAAGAAAAAAUGAAGAAGAGGAAAACACAGUAGUACGGCAUUCAGUCUGUUUCUCAUGCAAUUGAAACCUCUUUAACCUUAACCCUAUUCCUCCCUGCUGAA